Molecule: long non-coding RNA, 1728 nt
Filed under: Gallus gallus (chicken)
Lineage: Eukaryota; Metazoa; Chordata; Aves; Galliformes; Phasianidae
Source: RNAcentral
CGGGUGCGUAUGCGCGCCGGUGAGCAGCCGUUAGAGCGUCGCGCGCCGCAGCUGUUAGGCGCGUACGGCUGAGGUGGAGUUACCGCCGCUGUGGCUGUGAGGAUGGUGGGGGCGGCUCUUCCCGGUACCGGUUUGCCGUCUGGGCAAAAGCGGGAACGUUUUUUGGAACGAGGACUGAAAAAUCAGGCUUCUGAGAGCGUGAGGGGAAUGAACAAGUAACAAAACAGAAAGUGCAGCCCUUUCCUCUGAAACAGUGCAGCGGUGGCCCUGGAAUGGAGAUAGGCGGCAGAACGUAGUUGAUCUUCGUGGAGAUUGCAGAGCAAGCCAGGUUUUGGAGUCUUUAAAUGACAUGUUACAGUGACCAAAGGUGAUGAGGGAAUGCUUUAUCAUUCUGUACUGUCUUUGAAAUGGUGUUGCUGCUCUAGUUUAGGAGGCAAGUUAGACAUUAGGAAAGUAGCAGUGUAUUUUCUUGAAGGUGACUUGGAAGCAGAACCAACAAGUUGAGACUGCUCAAUCUGUGUGUUUCAAAACACACUAAGUGAUAGGACUAAAAGAGUGUGGCACAUCGUGUGAGGCAGUGCUGACAUCAUGAGUAACACAGAAGUGCCUCAUGUCCAGCCUGUGCAGUCAUCAGUGAAAGAAGCGGGCUGCUGCAAAGCCACUGAGUGGAAGGGCGUGGAGAGCAUCUGCACAGGAUAAUGUGGGGCAUUGUCCAACUUCCUACUUCUUCAUGUUCAAGCAAAAUUGUAUAAAGCUGGAAGUUUGGUGUCUGGAAGCUGGAAGCCCCACUUUUGGUGCAGUUAAAAUGUAGGAAUAUGAGCAGCUUGGAAAUACUUGUGGGCAUCAGAUACAGCUGUGCCUCCUUCACAUUACCCUGGCCUGGGACAUCUUGAUACAAAAUCAGAUUACUGCCUGUGUAUCUGUAUAAUAUUAAAAGGAAAAGAACUGCACCAAACACACACCGAGUGAUGAGGCAACCUGACCAGUACUCUGUUCUUUCGCAAGUUGAGCUAGGAAGCCUGGAGAAGAUUAGAGAGUAAAUUAUGUGCUUGUUUCUAUUUCCUGUUGGGAGUGCCUCUCUGUUGACUGGUCACCAAAAACCUGUAUCAAAUCAGAAAGCAGAUAAGCACACUGAAAAGACACGUUGUGAAGAGGCAGCUCUGAAGACCUUCAAGGGAGGUGCCCUGAGGAGAAUCCCGUACUGUGGACAGAGCACACGUGUUUUAGGUGCUGUCUUUGGUCUCUGCAUUUUAGAGAAGGUUAACUGCAUCACAACAGCGCUUCUGACCAUGUCUGACAUCCAGGGUUGCAUAUUCACUUAAGAAACAUCCUCUGCCUGUUUAUGCUGUGGAAUUUCCCAACCACUUUGUUAUGACUUUGUUGUGAACUCAUCCAUAAAACACUUGGAAGCACGUGCAUAAUAAAUACUUGACUAUUUCUACUGAAUGCAGUAAUGGACAAUUACAUGUUUUUGUAGGACAGAAGACUUUAUUAGGGAGCAGCUUGUAGUUAAAAGACUACUUACUUGAAAUCUACCUUGAAAAGCAACUUAAGCCAGUCUUUGAUGCAGUGAAGCAUGAGUCCCGCCUCAGCUGCAAUUGAAGCAAGAAAAAAAAAUCAAUAAACCAUUUUUAAGAGACAAUUUGUAAUUCACUGGUCCUGCUGUUGUUUUACUUUUCUAUGUGCAAACCCAUGCAGUGUAGCUGGUGAAUACAGCUAAUAAACAAC